GGGAAUAUUGCACAAUGGGGCGAAAGCCUGAUGCAGCAACGCCGCGUGAGUGAUGAAGGUUUUCGGAUCGUAAAACUCUGUCCUCAAGGAAGAUAAUGACGGUACUUGAGGAGGAAGCCCCGGCUAACUACGUGCCAGCAGCCGCGGUAAUACGUAGGGGGCUAGCGUUAUCCGGAUUUACUGGGCGUAAAGGGUGCGUAGGCGGUCUUUCAAGUCAGAAGUUAAAUUUUACGGCUCAACCGUAGCCAGCUUUUGAAACUGGAAGACUUGAGUGCAGGAGAGGAGAGUAGAAUUCCUAGUGUAGCGGUGAAAUGCGUAGAUAUUAGGAGGCAUACCAGUAGCGAAGGCGGCUCUCUGGACUGUAACUGACGCUGAGGCACGAAAGCGUGGGGAGCGAACAGGAUUAGAUACCCUGGUAGUCCACGCCGUAAACGAUGAGUACUAGGUGUCGGGGGUUACCCCCCUCGGUGCCGCAGCUAACGCAUUAAGUACUCCGCCUGG
This 501-nucleotide ribosomal RNA is filed under the name uncultured Clostridium sp. Its description in RNAcentral is "bacterial SSU rRNA". It matches the Rfam family "Bacterial small subunit ribosomal RNA", at positions 357 to 876 of the family's 1533-position model. The record is from RNAcentral. Lineage: Bacteria; Bacillati; Bacillota; Clostridia; Eubacteriales; Clostridiaceae.